This 253-nucleotide ribosomal RNA is filed under the name uncultured bacterium. Its description in RNAcentral is "partial 16S ribosomal RNA". It matches the Rfam family "Bacterial small subunit ribosomal RNA", at positions 524 to 776 of the family's 1533-position model. The record is from RNAcentral.
UACAGGGGGGGCAAGCGUUGUUCGGAAUUACUGGGCGUAAAGGGCUCGUAGGCGGCCAACUAAGUCAGACGUGAAAUCCCUCGGCUUAACCGGGGAACUGCGUCUGAUACUGGAUGGCUUGAGAUUGGGAGAGGGAUGCGGAAUUCCAGGUGUAGCGGUGAAAUGCGUAGAUAUCUGGAGGAACACCAAUAGCGAAGGCAGCUCGCUGGGACGGUACUGGCGCUAAGGCGCGAAAGCGUGGGGAGCGAACAGG